RNAcentral lists this ribosomal RNA (688 nucleotides) under uncultured archaeon. RNAcentral describes it as "bacterial SSU rRNA". It matches the Rfam family "Archaeal small subunit ribosomal RNA", at positions 130 to 801 of the family's 1478-position model. The record is from RNAcentral.
CCCUGGGAAACUGGGAUUAAUGUCCGAUAGGCGAAGAUUCCUGGAAUGGAUCUUUACCUAAAAGGUGCUUUGAUCAUGCUUCUUAGCGCUGCCUAAGGAUGGGGCCGCGGCCGAUCAGGUUGUUGGUGAGGUAACGGCUCACCAAGCCGUUGACCGGUACGGGCCGUGAAAGCGGGAGCCCGGAGAUGGGCACUGAGACAAGGGCCCAGGCCCUACGGGGCGCAGCAGUCACGCAACCUCCGCAAUGCACGAAAGUGUGACGGGGUUAUCCCGAGUGCCGUUCGCUGAGAAUGGCUUUUCCCUAGUGUAAAUAGCUAGGGGAAUAAGGAGAGGGCAAGCCUGGUGUCAGCCGCCGCGGUAAUACCAGCUCUCCGAGUGGUGGGGACGCUUAUUGGGCCUAAAGCAUUCGUAGCCGGCUGGACAAGUCUUCUGUUAAAGCCAACGAUUUAAUCGUUGGACUGCGGGGGAUACUGUUCGGCUAGGAGACGGGAGAAGCCGACGGUAUUUCCAGGGUAGGGGUGAAAUCCUAUAAUCCUGGGAAGACCACCAGUGGCGAAGGCUGUCGGCUAGAACGCGCUCGACGGUGAGGGAUGAAAGCUAGGGGAGCGAACCGGAUUAGAUACCCGGGUAGUCCUAGCUGUAAACGAUGCAGGCUAGGUGUUAGAGCGGCUAUGUGCCGCUUUAGUGC